GACGAACGCUGGCGGCGUGCUUAACACAUGCAAGUCGAACGGAAAGGCCCUGCUUGUGUGGGGUGCGCGAGGGGCGAAGGGGUGAGUAACACGUGUGUAACCUGCCCUUGACUUUGGGAUAACUUCAGGAAACUGGGGCUAAUAGCGGAUAGCAGCUCCGGCUGCGGGGUGGGGGUUGGAAAGGUUCGGCGGUGGGGUAAGGACUCGCGGCUUAUGCGCUUGUUGGUGGGGAAGUGUAUUACCGAGGCUUUGGCGGGUCGCCGGCCUGAGGGGGUGGCCGGCCAGAUUGCGACUGAGCUACGGACCAGACUCCUACGGGCGGCAGUAGUGGGGAAUAUUGCACAAUGGGCGGCAGCCUGAUGCAGCACCGCCGCGUGCGUGAUGACGGCCUUCUGGUUGUAAACCGCUUUCGCCUGUGACGCAGCGUGAGUGACGGUAAUGGGUAAAGAAGCACCGGCUAACUACGUG
This 468-nucleotide ribosomal RNA is filed under the name uncultured bacterium. RNAcentral's name for it is "partial 16S ribosomal RNA". It matches the Rfam family "Bacterial small subunit ribosomal RNA", at positions 28 to 507 of the family's 1533-position model. The record is from RNAcentral.